This 272-nucleotide ribosomal RNA is filed under the name uncultured bacterium. RNAcentral's name for it is "partial 16S ribosomal RNA". The record is from RNAcentral.
CUGCUGCCUUCCGUAGGAGUUUGGACCGUGUCUCAGUUCCAAUGUGGGGGACCUUCCUCUCAGAACCCCUACGCAUCGUCGGCUUGGUGGGCCGUUGCCCCACCAACUACCUAAUGCGCCGCAUGCCCAUCCGUGACCGGGUCGCCCCCUUUGGCCGGCAGGGGAUGUCCCCUCCCGGCAUUAUGUUGUAUUAGGCGGGAUUUCUCCCGGUUAUCCAUCUGUCACGGCCAGGUUGCAUACGUGUUACUCACCCGUGCGCCGGUCGCCGGCGG